Molecule: ribosomal RNA, 377 nt
Filed under: uncultured eukaryote
Lineage: Eukaryota
Description: partial 18S ribosomal RNA
Rfam family: Eukaryotic small subunit ribosomal RNA
Source: RNAcentral
CAAUAGCGUAUAUUUAAGUUGCUGCAGUUAAAAAGCUCGUAGUUGGAUUUCGGGUGGGAAUGGCCGGUCCGCCGUUUCGGUGUGCACUUGCUACGCCCACCUUGCUGCCGGGGACGUGCUCUUGAGUUCACGCUCGGGACACGGAGUCGGCGAGGUUACUUUGAGUAAAUUAGAGUGUUCAAAGCAGGCCUACGCUCUGAAUACAUUAGCAUGGAAUAACACGAUAGGACUCUGGCCUAUCUUGUUGGUCUGUAGGACCGGAGUAAUGAUUAAGAGGGACAGUCGGGGGCAUUCGUAUUUCAUUGUCAGAGGUGAAAUUCUUGGAUUUAUGAAAGACGAACUACUGCGAAAGCAUUUGCCAUGGAUGUUUUCAUUGA